AAUAACGAUGAAUCGUAUGGCAGACGUUGAUCACAGUAAUGGAUUUGCCCUUCACUGUGCACUCUUUAACAAUCUCUGUUGACCACUGAUUUGUGUUACCGGUAGUAAUGUGAAUACCUGUUACACCAGGAACACGUGAUCUUUCAAAAGGAGAAUAUCGCUGGUGUGGAAUAAUCAUCAGACGACGGACUUUAGUGACAAACGGUCAUGACCUUCCACAGUGAGAUUACAGGAGAACCUACAACAGACAUCUUUAAAAUGUUCCUCUUUAUUGUAAACUCGAGAGGUGAGCUUAACAAGUCCACGUAUUUUCGAACGUGGCGUCAAAAUACAACCGAAAGAUAAACUAAAAUCCGUAUAAAGUGUACUACAAGGGUCAUGAUAAUGGCGAAGACUUCUCAGUCAUCGAAGUGAGGCCAAACGUCGCUCUGAGAUUACAGAGAUUGCGUUGUGUACGAAGGAACGACCAGGAAGAUGCCCUGCGUCCAUUGCCAGGGCGGAAGGAGCAGUUACCGCGCGGACAAACCUCGACGACGACGGUCAGAAUCUACUCCCGAGAGAUUGCUACUGAGCCUGCACUGCGGUCACAAUGUCUCAGGGAGAUGCGACAGUAACAGAAGCGGUCACCAGCGGCGGUUCACCGAGGCUUGUGAUCAAAGCUGGUCAGCUCGGCCUGCUCCAUCGUGCAGCUGCCAGACAAUGGCGUGCAACAAGUCAUGGAAGCACACGGCAGUUCGUGAGGGAUCCUUAUGCAAGACAGCUGCUUCGACUGUGUCUGGCAGGCUUCCUGAAGGCGAAGAGCUGUGCUGCAGCCAUUGCAGGAGCGGGCAGAGGAUUUGUCACAAGCAGGGAGACGAGGGGCAGUGCGGUGCCAAGCCCCAGUCCUUGUGCGAAUGCGGUGACAGUUUUGCUGGAUCAGUCGCCAACAAAGCUAUUCUUUUUGAGGAAAGUUCAAAGCAAAACCAUGAAAGUUGCGAUAAAGACAAAGGCGAGGCCAUGCAGGCAAUGACUUCUGAAGCACUCCCAAAACAGAACAAAGGGGUUGCGACAAACACUUCCAGCAGCAAACAAGAUCAGUCUGAGAACAACGCCAAGAACGCGACUUUUGAAGACAGGGCCGUGAAGAAUAGCGAAGAAUGCAGCCACUGUAGGGAUGAAAUGUCUGUUGGCUGGAAAAAUAGAAACGAAAACCGCCGUCAAAUGAGUUGCCCAUGCGAGAACUUUGAUUCGCUGGUUGCAAAUGCUGAAGAGCCGAAGUCAACUUCACAUCGACAUUGCAGAAUGAUUGCCUACGUCACCAGAUUGAGCAAGGAACACGACCAUUUUAGCACGGACGGCGGCAUCCGCACUCAGACCAGAGGAAAAUCGCGGAAGAUGAACCCGGCGCCGUCAUGUGUUGUGCAGCCCAGGUGCGGUGCAAACAGCCAAACGUCAUUGGAGAACGAUGAUGGCGAUGAAGAUGACGUGGACGACGACGAAGAAGAAGACAGCGAUGAAGAUGACGGCUCCGCUGACGAGAUGAGGGCGAGGAGCAGCCAGCAUGGAGCCACCCUCACUGCCAACUUGUACGACCUCUGGCGGGAACGCCGUAUGUGUGACGUGGCGCUGCGAGCGGAGGACGAGGAGGUGCUGGCUCACAAGCUGGCCCUCGCCGCCUUCAGCUCCACCUUCGCUCACCGCUACUGCGAGGUCAAGGGAAGCGACGGCAAGUUGCUGCACAUCGACGUGCCGGGCACCACGGCGGCGGGACUGAAGGAGCUUUUACGCUUUGUUUACACGGGAGAAAUCCGCAUCACAUUCGACAACAUAGGCCCCGUUCUGGCUGCCGCCUCCUGCCUGUACAUUGAUGACGUCGUCACUGUCUGCAAACAGGUCAAUAAUAUGCUAAUGCAACCAGCCGUGGAUAAUGUGAUCUACUUUCACCACCUUGUUGAGAAGUACCACCUCAUCGACAACCUCAACUACUUUGACGACUUCAUUUGUAAGAAUUUUCAGCAAGUGUAUCGCACAGGGGGCUGGCCAAAUGCGACUUAUGGACAUGUGCUUGAUCUCCUGAGUGACGACAACCUGAAUGUGGACCGUGAGCUGGACGUCUUCUACGCUGCUUUGGCUUGGAUUGAUGGCGACCGUAGCCACAGGUUGUCUUAUGCUGCCGACCUGAUUGGCUGCGUGCGUUUUGCUUACAUCACGCCGGAGGAAAUCGCCAAACAUGUGGAAACAAAGCAGUUUCUUUUCCAAGGGGACGACGGAAAGGAGCUGCUACUGUGCAUUUACAGACAUCAUGCCCUGCAGACGUGUGCGUGUAAGGACGGGAAACAUGUUAAGACACUGCCUCGGCGGAAAUAUCGGCUAGUGUCACACGUUGCCAAGUUGGCGGCAUCUCCGCCAGAAACGCCGACACAACGUCGGCAUUCUCAUAGUCUGCCUCUAGUACCGUCUCGUUCUGAGGUCAUUCUGGCUGCUGGCGGCGUCAACCCUUUCCAGCCCGAGAUGGAGGUACAAGCGCGGCUGGUGGAGCAGUACAACCCACGUAACAACCACUGGACCACGCUGACAAAAUUGCCGGACGGGAGACAUCAUCACAGCAUGGUGGUCCUCGGCGGCUGCCUCUACGUCAUAGGAGGUUCUGUGCUGGACGAGCUUAACCCUGGACAUUUGUGUAACCCCACAGGAAGCUGCUACCGCUACCAGUACGGCAAUGACCAGUGGAGUGCCAUAGCCCCUCUGCUCACGGCCCGCAUGUACCAUGCCACUGCUGUCCUCGGUGACCGCAUCUUUGCUAUAGCUGGCCAGACUCACCAUUCCAGUGGAGUUUUACCGGGCCGACUUGGACGAGUGGGAGGCGGGGCCGGAUCUAGAAGAGGCCCGUAUCGGCGUGGCGGUCGCAGCCUACAUGGGGAUGCUGUUUGCUGCUGGUGGCUUCCUGGAGACAGACAACGAACAGCUGGUGCGAGAUACCGUGGAGGUGUACGACAACAAGACACGCCGGUGGACGAGGCGAAAUCCUCUUCCCAGACCACGUUGCCAUGCCGGCCUGGUCGUUUGCAUCGGGAAACUGUACCUGAUCGGGGGCUCCACCUUCCCUGGCGACAGUCCUAACGUUCUCAGUCUGGCCUCCGUCCUGAGAUACGACGAAGUUAAUGACAGGUGGGAGAAAAUCCAGACACUGCGCAUGCCGCGUCACGACAUGGGGGUCGCUGUGCUGGGCACCCGUAUCUUUGUGGUGGGAGGAGUGUCUUCGACCGACAGCAAGGUGUUGAGUGACGUGGAGUGUCUGGACGUAGA
RNAcentral lists this unclassified non-coding RNA (3285 nucleotides) under Pomacea canaliculata. Its description in RNAcentral is "kelch-like protein 2, transcript variant X1". Lineage: Eukaryota; Metazoa; Mollusca; Gastropoda; Architaenioglossa; Ampullariidae. The record is from RNAcentral.